CUCAGGACUUGGAGAAGAAACGGCUGCUGGACUUGGCGGGGAAUUUGCGCGGGGUUUUACUGAGCGGGAAGAGACUGUUCAAAUGAGGGGGAGGAGGACGCCA
Molecule: long non-coding RNA, 103 nt
Filed under: Anolis carolinensis (green anole)
Lineage: Eukaryota; Metazoa; Chordata; Lepidosauria; Squamata; Anolidae
Description: lncRNA (ENSACAG00000045383.1)
Source: RNAcentral